This 253-nucleotide ribosomal RNA is filed under the name uncultured bacterium. RNAcentral describes it as "partial 16S ribosomal RNA". It matches the Rfam family "Bacterial small subunit ribosomal RNA", at positions 524 to 776 of the family's 1533-position model. The record is from RNAcentral.
UACAGAGGGUGCAAGCGUUAAUCGGAAUUACUGGGCGUAAAGCGCACGUAGGUGGGUGUUUAAGUCGAAUGUGAAACCCUCGAGCUUAACUUGGGGACUGCAUGCGAUACUGAACAUCUAGAGUAUAGUAGAGGGAAGUGGAAUUUCCGGAGUAGCGGUGAAAUGCGUAGAUAUCGGAAGGAACACCAGUGGCGAAGGCGGCUCGCUGGGCCGGACCUGACGCUGAGACGCGAAGGCGUGGGGAGCGAACGGG